GUUUACACCCACCAUAAUAGGGGAAAAGAAGAAGACUUGCGGGUUGCCAAUGGCUGGCUCUGCCUCUGACGGCAGCCAUUGCGAUACUUGAAACAAUCAACUAUACACUUUAUUUUUUCUUGUAUAAGUAGCUGGAUAGCGGUUCAUCGCAAUCGUCGACCACCGAUUGUUAAACUGCAUUUUCCUCACACACAUCAUUAUCUCGUUCCCAAUGUUCAUCUGAGAGUAGCGCUGUUGUUCACAAGGCCUCGGAUAGCCACAGACUAAAUUAGCAAACAAGACAAACGCAACAUUAUACCAGACAGGAACGCGGAUCCAAAGGCGCAGGGCUGUGGUACUGGACCACAGCACCGAGGGGCGCUCAGCCGUCCCAUGAUGGUGUGCGAGCUCUUCCUGCUGACCUCCAUCUGGUUUCUCUUCGUCAUCUUCUGGAUGGAGACCAUAAGCGUGUGGCUCUUCCUCUGCAAUUUCUACCAGGACCGAGCUUUUUAUCACUGGGGAGAUGGAGUCUUUGCGGAUGAUCCAGGUCACAUGCUGUACAUGCUGGGCAGAGUGGAUGGGUCGGGGCAGAUGCACACCUGAUUCAGGAGGAGCAGAGAGGUGGGCAGUGGCCCUGGCCCUGCAUCAGGUGCAGAUGUGAGCAUGGGAGCUCACUGCCGCACAUGGACUCUCAGGUCAUCCUCUGUGUGGGACAGCCUGGAUGUACGGAACAGGACUGCAGGGCUGUGCACACUGCCUGCCCAUACCUGCACAGCCCUACCCAUGUUUGAACCAGCUCACUCCUCCUGUCCGACUGCCAGCUGAGUAAUGCCUGCAAGAAAGCUAUGCGUCAGGAGUGGCAAAGGAGGAAUUAGACUUCGUAUACUAGCAUUAAAGAAGAAAGGGAAAUGUUAAUUUUGUGUGGAUUUUGGAGUUCUUAAUAUCAGUUCUUAUAAUCAAGUACUGUUGUCAACAGAGCAGGGUGUUUUUCAGCAAAAAAAGCUGUUUUUUUUUAAACUGUCGUCAGUCAUGCACUAUUAGUUGGUCUUAAGUAGUAUUGCUGCCUAAAUAUUGCAUACAUUUUUCUGUUGCUCAGCUUAGUUCAGCAUGUGUGUGAGAGUGCAUUACCCUGCUCUAACUGAUGGGAAGGUAUAUAACCUAGCGUUUCUUAAACCUUUUCUGUCAUACCAAUGUGGAGUACCAUUGUGAAAGAUAACAAUGCUGUACUAACUCUUAAGUUGGGUUCAAGCUUAAUUAAUCCUGAGCUUUGUUUUAGAAAAUGAGCUGAGAUCUGCAGGAUGUAGUUUGCCCCCAUGCCGCUGAAACCAGAAUUGGGGAGAAACCGGUUUGAUGCCUGACCACUUUGAUGCUGCAUUUUUCCUGGCUGGUUCCAGGUAUUUCAGUGCACAGGCUGAUUUAACUGGGCAAAAACACGCAUUUACCUGGGCCUGGAAAAAACGAGACCGAUUAGAUUAAUGAGGUUAAUGUAGACCUGGAACAGCCAGCGCACCUUACUGCUUCCAUUGGGGCUGUUCAUGGAAGUUGUCAGUGAGAGUGUGAAAGUCUUAGCCCAUCACUGGGAGGUUAGCUGCCACUUUGCAGUUUCUACGGUGGUUGACUAGCUUAGAAACUAGCACACAGUAGAAACUAGAAGUGAUGCAUGUCUUGUGCAAGUUUUCUUUUCCUGGUAGGUCUGUCUUGGUUUGUUACAGUGUAUGGCCCAUAUUUUCUGAUGUAUACUGUGAGGAAAGAAGUAGGUUGUCUCUAUAUGAAAAUAUGCAGCAAAUUUUAAAACUAAGCAGAAGAGUGGUUUGAAGAUUUAAUAUUUUUCUUUCAGACUGAGAUUUUGAAACAUUUUCAGACUUAUUUACCCCAAAGAAUGAAAAAGUUGCCUAGACAGUGUAAAUGUGCAAAUAAUUCAGUGCAUGAAUACAUUUUUGUCAGUAGCACAUAUCCCUUUCUUUGAUAUUGCACAAUGUUGGGGCUGUAUGGUCAUUGUGAAAAUGAUCUUGUAACUGUUGCGUCAGCUUUCUCCUUGCAGGCCGUUGGUUCUUUGCCCUGGUUCUGACUCACUUUCAUUGUCCCUGUUCUCUAUUUUGCACAGAAUUUGUUCUUUGUGAUUGAAAGUCUUAAUUUAUUUUGUUAUUUUGUAGGAAAACUAUUAAAGUAGAUCAGCAAUCUGUGCACAAGUACAUACUUGGCACAAUAAAGUUACUAAAAACACAUUCAUACUAAAUAAAAUUAAAGGCUAAAUAUCUGUGAUCAGAUCUUUUCAGAUUUUCUUGCUACAUAGUCUUGUUAUUGUAACCGAAUCAAAAUAAAAGUUGAUUUUCAUUAA
Long non-coding RNA from Conger conger (European conger), 2317 nucleotides. RefSeq lists it as uncharacterized. The transcript is spliced from 4 exons. NCBI's taxonomy places the organism in Eukaryota, Metazoa, Chordata, Actinopteri, Anguilliformes, Congridae. The record is from RefSeq and is a predicted model, not a curated record.